GGGUCGUUAGCUCAGUUGGUAGAGCAGCUGACUCUUAAUCAGCGGGCCACAGGUUCGAAUCCUGUACGACCCACCA
This 76-nucleotide transfer RNA is filed under the name Magnetococcales bacterium. RNAcentral's name for it is "tRNA-Lys". It matches the Rfam family "tRNA". Rfam says of the family: Transfer RNA (tRNA) molecules are approximately 80 nucleotides in length. Their secondary structure includes four short double-helical elements and three loops (D, anti-codon, and T loops). The record is from RNAcentral. Lineage: Bacteria; Pseudomonadati; Pseudomonadota; Magnetococcia; Magnetococcales.